UCCCUCUCAGGAUCGCACCUGGAGAGUUUUCUGUACUCUACCAGUCUCGGCUACAAGAGGCAAAGUCAAGCAGAGACCUACCCAUUCUAUUCCUAGCCUGGCCAGUGGCAAGCGAGUGGAAGGCAAUCUGCUACAAGU
Molecule: small nucleolar RNA, 138 nt
Organism: Tachyglossus aculeatus (Australian echidna)
Lineage: Eukaryota; Metazoa; Chordata; Mammalia; Monotremata; Tachyglossidae
Source: RefSeq, a predicted model, not a curated record